UACGUAGGGAGCAAGCGUUGUCCGGAAUCAUUGGGCGUAAAGCGCGCGUAGGUGGCCCCGUAAGUCCGCUGUGAAAGUCAAAGGCUCAACCUUUGAAAGCCGGUGGAUACUGUGGGACUAGAGUACGGAAGAGGCGAGUGGAAUUCCUGGUGUAGCGGUGGAAAUGCGCAGAUAUUAGGAGGAACACCAAUAGCGAAGGCAGCUCGCUGGGACGUUACUGACACUGAGGCGCGAAGCGUGGGGAGCGAACAG
Molecule: ribosomal RNA, 252 nt
Filed under: uncultured bacterium
Lineage: Bacteria
Description: partial 16S ribosomal RNA
Rfam family: Bacterial small subunit ribosomal RNA
Source: RNAcentral